UAUGCUUGUGAACCAGUUAGAUUCUAUACACAUAUGAAUCUUCCCCAUAUUCGAAUAUCUGAAUGUCAGACUCAAGCUGAUGAUAUAUGAGGUAUGGUCCUCGCUGUAUCAAUCAAGUCCCAUUGAAAUAUUGAAACGUUGUUCAUACAUCUUUGAAUGAACUUUUAUGUGCUGACAAUAUGUUCUGAAAUGAAGAGAUUUUACCCCUGAUGAAGUCUUGGAACAAGACGAAACGCGUUGGGUUAUUUAUCUAUCUAUUAUCUGAUGUUACCUCCGAAUCUACAAUAAGGAGAAGGAGGAAAUCGUAGUGAUAUAUCUACGCUUUUUCCUCAUCACUACAAACUGAUUGUUCAAAUUGUGCGACAAAUGUAAAUGUAUCAACUCUGUAUACUUAUGAACAUUUGUGUCGGGUUUAUAUGUUUUAAUAAAUUUUUAUGUUAGUA
Long non-coding RNA from Pseudophryne corroboree (corroboree frog), 443 nucleotides. RefSeq lists it as uncharacterized. The transcript has 3 exons. Lineage: Eukaryota; Metazoa; Chordata; Amphibia; Anura; Myobatrachidae. The record is from RefSeq and is a predicted model, not a curated record.